GAUGAACGCUGGCGGCGUGCCUAAUACAUGCAAGUCGAGCGAAUGGAUUAAGAGCUUGCUCUUAUGAAGUUAGCGGCGGACGGGUGAGUAACACGUGGGUAACCUGCCCAUAAGACUGGGAUAACUCCGGGAAACCGGGGCUAAUACCGGAUAACAUUUUGAACCGCAUGGUUCGAAAUUGAAAGGCGGCUUCGGCUGUCACUUAUGGAUGGACCCGCGGCGCAUUAGCUAGUUGGUGAGGUAACGGGUCACCAAGGCAACGAUGCGUAGCCGACCUGAGAGGGUGAUCGGGCACGCUGGGACUGAGACACUGCCCAGAAUCCUACGGGAGGCAGCAGUAGGGAAUCUUCCGCAAUGGACGAAAGUCUAACGGAGCAGCGCCGCGUGAGUGAUGAAGGCUUUCGGGUCGUAAAACUCUGUUGUUAGGGAAGAACAAGUGCUAGUUGAAUAAGCUGGCACCUUGACGGUACCUAACCAGAAAGCCACGGCUAACUACGUGCCAGCCGCCGCGGUAA
This 515-nucleotide ribosomal RNA is filed under the name uncultured bacterium. Its description in RNAcentral is "partial 16S ribosomal RNA". It matches the Rfam family "Bacterial small subunit ribosomal RNA", at positions 28 to 523 of the family's 1533-position model. The record is from RNAcentral.